AUGUGCUCCCGACAGAACUCCGGAGGCUGCCACGAAACAUCCUCCCAGUCCGGGGGAUGCCACAGCAGGGGCUCAUCCUGCCAUGGGGGCAGCUCCUCCAGCUACCAGGCACUGGGCUCCUCUUGCUGCGGGAGCGGAGGCUCCAGCAGCUAUGGUGGGGGCAUGGCCUCGUCCCAGCAGAUCCAAGGAUCCUCCGGCUUCGGCACGGGAGGAGGAUCCAGCGGGGGCUCCAUUAUCAUCUCAUCUGGGGGUGGCAGUGGAGGGUCGUCCGGAUGCUGCACUGGGGGCGGAUCCAGCGGGGGCAGCACCGGUGCCAGUCAGAAGAUCAUUGUUAGCUCUGGAGGUGGAGGAGGUGGCAGCUCAUCCGGGUGCUGCAGCGGAGGAUCCUCAGGCUAUGGAAUAGGAGGAGGAUACAGUGGUGGGUCUUCAGGAGGCAAGAUCAUCAUAGCAGGAGGGGGGAGCAGCGGAGGAUCCUCUGGAGGCUGCAGCGGAGGAUCCUCAGGCUAUGGAAUAGGAGGAGGAUACAGUGGUGGGUCUUCAGGAGGCAAGAUCAUCAUAGCAGGAGGGGGGAGCAGCGGAGGAUCAUCUGGAGGCUGCAGCGGAGGAUCCUCAGGCUAUGGCGUGGGAGGAGGAUACAGUGGUGGCAGCGGGGGAUCAGGCCAGAAGAGCAUUGUCAGCUCUGGAGGUGGAGGUGGCAGCUCAUCCGGGUGCUGCAGCGGAGGAUCCUCAGGCUAUGGCGUGGGAGGAGGAUACAGUGGUGGCAGCGGGGGAUCAGGCCAGAAGAGCAUUGUCAGCUCUGGAGGUGGAGGUGGCAGCUCAUCCGGGUGCUGCAGCGGAGGAUCCUCAGGCUAUGGCGUGGGAGGAGGAUACAGUGGUGGCAGCGGGGGAUCAGGCCAGAAGAGCAUUGUCAGCUCUGGAGGUGGAGGUGGCAGCUCAUCCGGGUGCUGCAGCGGAGGAUCCUCAGGCUAUGGCGUGGGAGGAGGAUACAGUGGUGGCAGCGGGGGAUCAGGCCAGAAGAGCAUUGUCAGCUCUGGAGGUGGAGGUGGCAGCUCAUCCGGGUGCUGCAGCGGAGGAUCCUCAGGCUAUGGCGUGGGAGGAGGAUACAGUGGUGGCAGCGGGGGAUCAGGCCAGAAGAGCAUUGUCAGCUCUGGAGGUGGAGGUGGCAGCUCAUCCGGGUGCUGCAGCGGAGGAUCCUCAGGCUAUGGCGUGGGAGGAGGAUACAGUGGUGGCAGCGGGGGAUCAGGCCAGAAGAGCAUUGUCAGCUCUGGAGGUGGAGGUGGCAGCUCAUCCGGGUGCUGCAGCGGAGGAUCCUCAGGCUAUGGAAUAGGAGGAGGAUACAGUGGUGGGUCUUCAGGAGGCAAGAUCAUCAUAGCAGGAGGGGGGAGCAGCGGAGGAUCAUCUGGAGGCUGCAGCGGGGGAUUCAGCAGUGGCAGUGGGGGUUCCUCAGGCCACACAAUCAUCAUCAGCUCCGGAGGAGGCAGCGGAGGGUCCUCCCAGUCCACGCAGCAGAAAUGCCCCAUUGUCAUUCCCAACGUUGAAUCCCAUCAAACCAAGCAGGCCUGCCACUGGCCCUCCAGCCACCAGAAGUAAUGGCCACAGAUGGCCCCGGAGCUCAGCAAGAACAGCCCUGCGCGUGACAGGUCACCAUUUUCUCUCUAGAUCUGAUGCUCUCUUCCCAGUUGGCCUGUUUCCUCCCAGCACAUCCUCUUCUCUUGAUGCUGCAUUGCUGUGAACUCAUUGUGCCAGUGCUCUACCCUGGUGCUGGCUUUACAAUGUCUUUGAUUGGGCUCCAUUGAUUUUUCCAAGAGUAUAUGUAAGAUCUAAUAAAUAUGAUAGUAUCCCAAGGAAGCCUUGUUUU
This is a long non-coding RNA of Struthio camelus australis, 1858 nucleotides long. The record is from Ensembl. NCBI's taxonomy places the organism in Eukaryota, Metazoa, Chordata, Aves, Struthioniformes, Struthionidae.